GCCGGCAUGGCGGAACAGGCAGACGCACAGGACUUAAAAUCCUGCGGGACUUAAUCCCAUACCGGUUCGAUCCCGGUUGCCGGCA
Non-coding RNA from Oribacterium sp. oral taxon 078, 85 nucleotides. The record is from Rfam. Lineage: Bacteria; Bacillati; Bacillota; Clostridia; Lachnospirales; Lachnospiraceae.